UUUUGUGAUUAAAAUAAACAUAAAAAUAAAAAUAAUUAAAAUAAAUAAUGCGGGUUGUUGGAUACCCACGUUAGUGCUCAUCAAAUUUUUUCUCAACACUAAAUUCACCUACAACUCGUAAAAUUAACCGCAACGAGCGGAUUUUUACGGAUAGAUUUAAGUGUGUUGGUUAGUUGGCGGGUAAUUUUGCCGUCCCUAAACUCAUCUCAUGUGCUCGAAUUCAUCACACCAAUUUCUCUUUUCCCGCUCUUUUCUUUUUUCCUUUUUUUGGGGAAACUCUCGAAUAGUCGUCUCCUUGUCCAAAUUUGCACCCAAAAUGAAGGAUACGCAAAGGAUUUCUGUUCCCACCCCCCUUCUUUUCCCAUGCUUCCAAUUCCAAUGGGUUCAGACAGCACCAUCAAGGCUUUAUCGAAAAAUGGCAUGGACCGCCCAUUAAUACACCCUUUUCUUUUCUGAAUUGGAUGCGAAGCUAUCUUCUCACCUUUUGCAUGCCUUCAUUCUACCCACAAGAGAGAUUGUUCCUUCUUCUUCCUCUCUCCACCGUACAAUAACAGGAACAGGAAACAAGAAGCCAAGUUUUGGUAGACAAUGAAGAGAAAUUGAAUUGCAUUAUCUAGUUCUGAAACUCAAAGAACACAUUAGUGCCUUUUAUCGGAUGGCAAAAACCCGUGAAAGGCUUUAUGCGUUUAGGCUUUCACACAGGUUCGUCUUUUGAUCUUAGGCUCAAGUAAACAUAGGGGGCCCCCACGAUCUUUUAUACACAAUAAUGGCUUUUUUAAAAAUUAAUAUUGAUAAUGUGUAAUACAUAUGAUUUUUAAAUAAUAAUUUUAACAAAAAUAAUAAACAUGUAAUAGGUUCUAUCGUAUAAGCAUGGGAUCAUAUUAACUUAACUUUCAAAUUAUAAUAACUAUUGUCUACUAAAUACUGGAA
RNAcentral lists this long non-coding RNA (930 nucleotides) under Citrus x clementina. RNAcentral describes it as "Citrus clementina (C. clementina) long non-coding RNA (CCLE_LNC004005)". Lineage: Eukaryota; Viridiplantae; Streptophyta; Magnoliopsida; Sapindales; Rutaceae. The record is from RNAcentral.